AAAUUGAAGAGUUUGAUCAUGGCUCAGAUUGAACGCUGGCGGCAGGCCUAACACAUGCAAGUCGAACGGUAACAGGAAACAGCUUGCUGUUUCGCUGACGAGUGGCGGACGGGUGAGUAAUGUCUGGGAAACUGCCUGAUGGAGGGGGAUAACUACUGGAAACGGUAGCUAAUACCGCAUAACGUCGCAAGACCAAAGAGGGGGACCUUCGGGCCUCUUGCCAUCAGAUGUGCCCAGAUGGGAUUAGCUUGUUGGUGGGGUAACGGCUCACCAAGGCGACGAUCCCUAGCUGGUCUGAGAGGAUGACCAGCCACACUGGAACUGAGACACGGUCCAGACUCCUACGGGAGGCAGCAGUGGGGAAUAUUGCACAAUGGGCGCAAGCCUGAUGCAGCCAUGCCGCGUGUAUGAAGAAGGCCUUCGGGUUGUAAAGUACUUUCAGCGGGGAGGAAGGGAGUAAAGUUAAUACCUUUGCUCAUUGACGUUACCCGCAGAAGAAGCACCGGCUAACUCCGUGCCAGCAGCCGCGGUAAUACGGAGGGUGCAAGCGUUAAUCGGAAUUACUGGGCGUAAAGCGCACGCAGGCGGUUUGUUAAGUCAGAUGUGAAAUCCCCGGGCUCAACCUGGGAACUGCAUCUGAUACUGGCAAGCUUGAGUCUCGUAGAGGGGGGUAGAAUUCCAGGUGUAGCGGUGAAAUGCGUAGAGAUCUGGAGGAAUACCGGUGGCGAAGGCGGCCCCCUGGACGAAGACUGACGCUCAGGUGCGAAAGCGUGGGGAGCAAACAGGAUUAGAUACCCUGGUAGUCCACGCCGUAAACGAUGUCGACUUGGAGGUUGUGCCCUUGAGGCGUGGCUUCCGGAGCUAACGCGUUAAGUCGACCGCCUGGGGAGUACGGCCGCAAGGUUAAAACUCAAAUGAAUUGACGGGGGCCCGCACAAGCGGUGGAGCAUGUGGUUUAAUUCGAUGCAACGCGAAGAACCUUACCUGGUCUUGACAUCCACGGAAGUUUUCAGAGAUGAGAAUGUGCCUUCGGGAACCGUGAGACAGGUGCUGCAUGGCUGUCGUCAGCUCGUGUUGUGAAAUGUUGGGUUAAGUCCCGCAACGAGCGCAACCCUUAUCCUUUGUUGCCAGCGGUCCGGCCGGGAACUCAAAGGAGACUGCCAGUGAUAAACUGGAGGAAGGUGGGGAUGACGUCAAGUCAUCAUGGCCCUUACGACCAGGGCUACACACGUGCUACAAUGGCGCAUACAAAGAGAAGCGACCUCGCGAGAGCAAGCGGACCUCAUAAAGUGCGUCGUAGUCCGGAUUGGAGUCUGCAACUCGACUCCAUGAAGUCGGAAUCGCUAGUAAUCGUGGAUCAGAAUGCCACGGUGAAUACGUUCCCGGGCCUUGUACACACCGCCCGUCACACCAUGGGAGUGGGUUGCAAAAGAAGUAGGUAGCUUAACCUUCGGGAGGGCGCUUACCACUUUGUGAUUCAUGACUGGGGUGAAGUCGUAACAAGGUAACCGUAGGGGAACCUGCGGUUGGAUCACCUCCUUA
RNAcentral lists this ribosomal RNA (1542 nucleotides) under Escherichia coli. Its description in RNAcentral is "bacterial SSU rRNA". It matches the Rfam family "Bacterial small subunit ribosomal RNA". The record is from RNAcentral. Lineage: Bacteria; Pseudomonadati; Pseudomonadota; Gammaproteobacteria; Enterobacterales; Enterobacteriaceae.